Molecule: ribosomal RNA, 253 nt
Filed under: uncultured bacterium
Lineage: Bacteria
Description: partial 16S ribosomal RNA
Rfam family: Bacterial small subunit ribosomal RNA
Source: RNAcentral
UCCGUAGGUGGCAAGCGUUGUCCGGAAUUAUUGGGCGUAAAGCGCGCGCAGGCGGUUUCUUAAGUCUGAUGUGAAAGCCCCCGGCUCAACCGGGGAGGGUCAUUGGAAACUGGGAAACUUGAGUGCAGAAGAGGAGAGUGGAAUUCCACGUGUAGCGGUGAAAUGCGUAGAGAUGUGGAGGAACACCAGUGGCGAAGGCGACUCUCUGGUCUGUAACUGACGCUGAGGCGCGAAAGCGUGGGGAGAGAACAGG